Cryptomeria japonica (Japanese cedar) is the source of this 318-nucleotide long non-coding RNA. RefSeq lists it as uncharacterized. NCBI's taxonomy places the organism in Eukaryota, Viridiplantae, Streptophyta, Pinopsida, Cupressales, Cupressaceae. The record is from RefSeq and is a predicted model, not a curated record. The transcript is spliced from 3 exons.
ACAUUUCUAACAACUUUUAUUGAUCUCACUGUUAGAGCAUCUGUGUAUUAUCCUCUGAUAACUUUUGUUACAAAACUAUUUGUUCCAUUCAAAACUCGCUACUGCAACAUAAACAACUCACCCAGCUGUGAUUUCAACGGAAGGAUCCAAGGCCUGCAACACACCAGGCAACUUGAGCCAAUCUCAAAGCCUCCAAUUUCCAUAUGCCAGUUUUGAGGAUUGCAGCAUGGCAGCGCUUGUGUAUUGUCCUCUGGUGACUUUCAUUACAAAAGUGUCUGUACCAUUCAAAAGUCACUGCUCCAACAUAAACAACUCACC